RNAcentral lists this long non-coding RNA (243 nucleotides) under Salvator merianae (Argentine black and white tegu). RNAcentral describes it as "lncRNA (ENSSMRG00000014242.1)". Lineage: Eukaryota; Metazoa; Chordata; Lepidosauria; Squamata; Teiidae. The record is from RNAcentral.
CUGGUCCAUCAUCUUGUCUUACGCAGUGGUCCACCAAUUGCUUCUGGGCAUUCUCAAGCAGAAGGCAAAGGCAAAACCUUCAACUGCUCUCGAUGGGAUGGAGCUGUUUGCUGCACAAUGUCCACAUUGUUGAGAUAUUGCCAUGGUGACAUACUGCAGGCCACUAUUGAGUCGCCCAUCAGUUCAUUACAAGGGACACUCCAAGCUUGAAACAGCCCCGACUCCCAAGCUGUUUAGAUGUCC